Molecule: ribosomal RNA, 253 nt
Filed under: uncultured bacterium
Lineage: Bacteria
Description: partial 16S ribosomal RNA
Rfam family: Bacterial small subunit ribosomal RNA
Source: RNAcentral
UACAGAGGGUGUGAGCGUUGUCCGGAAUCACUGGGCGUAAAGGGCGCGUAGGUGGCCUGAUAAGUAGGGGGUGAAAUCUCGAGGCUCAACUUCGAGGCUGCCUUCUAAACUGUCGGGCUUGAGCAGAGUAGGGGCAGGUGGAAUUCCCGGUGUAGCGGUGGAAUGCGUAGAGAUCGGGAAGAACAUCGGUGGCGAAGGCGGCCUGCUGGGCUCUUGCUGACACUGAGGCGCGACAGCGUGGGGAGCGAACAGG